GAUCCUGGCUCAGGAUGAACGCUAGCUGCAGGCUUAACACAUGCAAGUCGAGGGGAAACGACAUCGAAAGCUUGCUUUUGAUGGGCGUCGACCGGCGCACGGGUGAGUAACGCGUAUCCAACCUGCCCACCACUUGGGGGAUAACCUUGCGAAAGUAAGACUAAUACCCAAUGACAUCCCACGAAGACAUCUGAAUGGGAUUAAAGAUUUAUCGGUGAUGGAUGGGGAGUGCGUCUGAUUAG
This 242-nucleotide ribosomal RNA is filed under the name uncultured bacterium. RNAcentral's name for it is "partial 16S ribosomal RNA". It matches the Rfam family "Bacterial small subunit ribosomal RNA", at positions 15 to 244 of the family's 1533-position model. The record is from RNAcentral.